This is a non-coding RNA of Misgurnus anguillicaudatus (oriental weatherfish), 1353 nucleotides long. NCBI's taxonomy places the organism in Eukaryota, Metazoa, Chordata, Actinopteri, Cypriniformes, Cobitidae. The record is from RefSeq and is a predicted model, not a curated record.
AUCAAAAGUCUUUACAACAUGGACAGUUAAACCUUUUGUAAUUUAAUUAAAACAACAAAAGAGAAAACAAACAAGCAGAUUGAGAUCUCCUUCAACGAUGCUUGAUGACGUGGCAGCCGAGACAUGCAGCAUUCUAGGACGCAGCCUUAUUAAAAAUAAAAAAAAAUGGACGCAGCCUUAUUUAUUUUUAUUUUAUAUAUGUAUAAUGUACCCCCUGACUGAACUUGUAUUUCUUAUUAUUUAAAAAAAAUAUAUUAAAAAUAUUUUUAAAAGAACGCAGCUGUGCGUUUGAGAAACGACCGGAAACGACUUAUAUGUCGCGAGGCCAUCACGUGACCACAAUAUUUACCAGAAGACCGUUAUUUGCUCGAGUUCCCUCAACUUUUUUGUCGCAAAUAACAUUAUUAAUAACCUGUAAAUAAUAAAAUUUGUACACAUUACGUUCCUUUUCACGUUGUAAUAGUAUGUUUUUGGUUUAAUAGUCGGCUUUAAGUUAGUUUUUCUGUCAGUUUGAUCGUCAAAAUCUUGAAAGUUAUCUACAGCCACACAUCCACUGUAUACCAAGUUAUGAUGUUCAAUUAUGAGAAUGCAAAAUGAUUUAUAGAUCAGUAAACAAUCAACAAAAAGGUAAUGUCUUAAUUAAUAUAUUUCUGCUUUUGUUACUUAUUCAUGUAUUUGAAUUACAUCAUUCAAAAUCAAAUGUUAAUAAUUAUAGGGUUUCAACUUGUUGCAGCUUUACAAAAAAUGUAGAAUUUGUAGGAGCAUGGACAACUGAGUAACAAAGUCAUAUUAUGCAGAUGGUAAAGAGGGUCAGGAUGAUGGAGAUGCAAGAGCCAAAGACAGCACAGACCAAACACCAGGCCAGAAUUCUGCAUGAGUCAGAUUGAGUAAUUUUCACUCUAGAGACCCUGGGGUGACCACCAAGGACGAAUGAAAACUCCAGUGAGUGUUUCUAAGGUAGAUCCUAAUGCAGAUGGAUGGAAUGUUGAUCCGCCUAACAUGCAAGAUUUUCUGUACCGAGAACUUUGGAUGACCAUCAAGACAAGCACUCGUUUUGAGUCCUGAGACCCUGGGGUGACCACCGUGAACAAAUACAGACUGCAAAAAGGCAGUCUUGACGGUUCUAGGAUGAAUGCAAAUAAAGACUGACCACCUGACUUCAGCGGUCCAGUCUCUUGUGGGAAGCAGGUGUUUGUUACCCCAAAUACGGAUGAAGAGUGACGAAGAGGAUGAUGACUUUUUUCUCAAACAUCAUCUGAAGAUCUUGACAGGCUGGAGACAAAAUUAACAGACUGAGGGUUUAUACAAAGAAUCUUACUCAGCCAAUAUUAAAGAUAAGAUAUUUUUACAAAA